AAGAAUUAUUUUAAAAAGUACCAAAUAAUGCACCAUUAGCAGCCUUAAACCACAACUCCAAAAUAAUUCUUUACAAGUGCAAGUUUACAACAUUUAUUUUCAUCGUGCACAAAAAAGGCUCUUUGUAUUUUGCUUCCCACUCGCUUCGACAGCCCAUUUUCAUACACUUUUGCAACCUAAAGACGCUACAGAAUUAACUUAAAUAUGCAAAAAAACAAAUACAAAAAAGACCUACCAUUUACAAUACAAGAAAAGAUUUCAAAACCCACUACUUUUGGGAGCAUCCCUACGCCAGGCCGUGCCAUGCUGCCCAGCUUCAAGUCCAGAUGGCGCUCCAUUAGACUGAUAGGCAGCAUUAACAUGGUUACUAGGAACUGUCCAAGUGCCCUGCAGCCACGACCGGGUAGUGUUUUGCUGACCAUGCAUCACAUUCAUUGGGGUUUGCAAAGGCAUGGCUUGUGGAGCAAUUUGAGGACGUGGCGUCUGCUGCACCAUAUGAGAACGUAACAUUAACUGUUGCAUGCCAUGCUCCUGCACCGGCUGUAGCUGUGGAAUCUGUGUUUUGUUGUCUUCAGGGUGCCACUCAGGCAUGUCAUCGUCAUCAUCGUUCCAUGGUUGCAUUGCAACCCCAAUACUUCUAUUAUUCUGCCAAUUCCCUAGAGAGGCACUAGUUUGUCCAUAUCUUUGUACAAGCUGCCUCAUUUGAUCUACAGGUCGAGAUGGUUUUGGCGAAUGUAAUUGAUAAGGAGGCAUCCCUUGCCCCCGAGUAACACUAUGGGUGGAAAACUGUGGCCCUGAUGCAACAGAACCACGUGAAAAAUUAAACUCAGGUAAGUCAUCGUCAUCCCGAGUGGCCGGUGGGCCAAACCCAGGAGGCACAUCAUCAUC
Molecule: unclassified non-coding RNA, 888 nt
Filed under: Hevea brasiliensis (rubber tree)
Lineage: Eukaryota; Viridiplantae; Streptophyta; Magnoliopsida; Malpighiales; Euphorbiaceae
Source: RNAcentral